AUUGAACGCUGGCGGCAUGCCUUACACAUGCAAGUCGAACGGUAACAGGUCUUCGGAUGCUGACGAGUGGCGAACGGGUGAGUAAUACAUCGGAACGUGCCCGAUCGUGGGGGAUAACGAGGCGAAAGCUUUGCUAAUACCGCAUACGAUCUACGGAUGAAAGCGGGGGAUCUUCGGACCUCGCGCGGACGGAGCGGCCGAUGGCAGAUUAGGUAGUUGGUGGGAUAAAAGCUUACCAAGCCGACGAUCUGUAGCUGGUCUGAGAGGAUGAUCAGCCACACUGGGACUGAGACACGGCCCAGACUCCUACGGGAGGCAGCAGUGGGGAAUUUUGGACAAUGGGCGAAAGCCUGAUCCAGCCAUGCCGCGUGCAGGAUGAAGGCCUUUGGGUUGUAAACUGCUUUUGUACGGAACGAAAAGCCUCUUUCUAAUAAAGAGGAGUCAUGACGGUACCGUAAGAAUAAGCACCGGCUAACUACGUG
This 482-nucleotide ribosomal RNA is filed under the name uncultured bacterium. RNAcentral's name for it is "partial 16S ribosomal RNA". It matches the Rfam family "Bacterial small subunit ribosomal RNA", at positions 30 to 507 of the family's 1533-position model. The record is from RNAcentral.